AAAAACAAUUAAACAAUAAGUUUAUCUUAACGGAGUCAGAUUAUAUAUUUUUCAAGGACCAAAACUGUUCCAGAAUAAGGGUGAAAUCUUCACAAAGCAGGUGAGAAAAUGUCAUUUAAAAAUAGACAAGUCAGAGUAUUGGGCUCACCAGAAUAGUGAAAACCUUUAAUCCAACAGAGUUCCAAGAGUAAGAUUGUGACCAUUUCUCUACACCAAAUCGUGGCAGCAAGCAUCAAGGAAUCAACACUUAAGAUGGGGUUGAAAAUCACACUUUGUCUUUCUAUUUUAUGUACAGAGUCUGCAUUGAAUUUCAGUAAUAAAAGACAAUACUGUAACUUUGUGGUCUUUGACUAUCAGGAAGAUCCUGAAAUCAUUGAAACAGAGUAAGAGGGAGACAUGGGGAGAGUUGCAAAAGGGAGCACAUAAUUAGUAGCACUUCUGUGGUGUCUCUUAGCUGCUAAAAUCCAUUGGCCUGGGUGCAUGGCCGCUGGUAGAUCUCAGGGAGGAUCUUGACUCUGGAUUGGCUCACAGAAGUUAGGAAAGUCAUAGCAAAUGGUGUUUCCACUCAUGGCAGGGGAGCAAUGUAAGACAAAUCAUUGGCAUUUAUUUGCAGGUACAGGAUGCUGCAGUUGGGAAUGCAUAAAGCCUGGAAGAUUUGAGCAGCAUGGCAGAGUGGCUGAAGAAGGAAUCCAACAGUCCUCUUAACACCAGUUUUGUCUGGAGUGCUAAUUCCAUUAGUUUGUCACUCUCUCGUCCCUGGGUUAUUAUAAUGUGCUUUGCAGGUAGAAUAAGCCAGAGAUUGUCUGCUUUGUAAAGCCUCCACAAGUGAUCUGAGGUAUGUUAGUUUAAUUCACUAUUCACUGUGAUAUGUUAUAGACAAUCCAGCCAAAUCAGUUUAAUGUCACAACUUUUAAUAUCACGUUCCUCAUAAUACACAGAUGUUUGUUUGUCCUGGGAAGCUUCCAUAGGAAAUAAAAAGGGUCAAAAUUGAAUGUUGUAAAGAAUGUAAUGUUACAAAUAGUUCAAGUCAACACGUUUAUUUGCCUUAUGGUAGCAAUCCUCUGGUUAAAGUCACAACGUUAUUGACUGUGUAUUUUUUGUCAGCCCUAUUCAUUAAAAGAUGCCAUGCAGUCAUCAUCAAUCUCACUCUUCACAUAGUAUGUCAUGAACAGAAGUAUCUGAUGCUGCAUUCACAUGCUAAUGGAAUUUAAGAAGCUCUGACUUUUGCUGUCUUAGCUUCCCACUUCAGUGUGUUCACAUGAAUUUCCAAAUGGAUUUUUGGGAGUAAUGCAAAGACACCGUUGAUUUGUUACUUGGUCUGCAGAACACAGCAAUUAAAGAUGAACUCUAAUUUUAGUGAAAAUAAAGAAAAAGUGAAACUACUAAA
Erpetoichthys calabaricus (reedfish) is the source of this 1387-nucleotide long non-coding RNA. RefSeq lists it as uncharacterized. The transcript has 2 exons. The record is from RefSeq and is a predicted model, not a curated record. NCBI's taxonomy places the organism in Eukaryota, Metazoa, Chordata, Cladistia, Polypteriformes, Polypteridae.